Ornithodoros turicata is the source of this 272-nucleotide long non-coding RNA. RefSeq lists it as uncharacterized. The record is from RefSeq and is a predicted model, not a curated record. The transcript has 3 exons. Lineage: Eukaryota; Metazoa; Arthropoda; Arachnida; Ixodida; Argasidae.
GGACACAAGUUGCAGUGCAGGCCGCGACUUUUACUUUGUAUAAGGGGUGCAGAAAAAGGAAAACCAGGAGCUGAAGUUUCUGCUGGACACAUCGGAGAACACAAUCAGUGGAGCCAGGAUUCUAAACACAUUGCGGAGUGUUGAGUAUGCCGGAAGGGGGCGGCACUGGAGGAAGAUGAGCGAGCGAGCGGGUUCGCACGAGCAAUAGAAAAUAAACCGUUCUCCAGUAGAAUACGGUCGGGUCAGCCUCCUCUAUCCUUAACAAUUGGUAC